Drosophila yakuba is the source of this 2124-nucleotide long non-coding RNA. RefSeq lists it as uncharacterized. Lineage: Eukaryota; Metazoa; Arthropoda; Insecta; Diptera; Drosophilidae. The transcript has 4 exons. The record is from RefSeq and is a predicted model, not a curated record.
GGUGAAACACAAGACAGAAAUCUGAUAACACUUUUAUGUAGCGUUGCUUCUUCGCAAUUUAUUCAUUUGAUUUGGAUUCGGCGAGCGACGCACGUGUCCGCAAUGGACUUUCAAAAUAUAAAAUUUUAAUUCGCGGAAGGACUCCGUGGUGGCUCCAAAUUAUUAAUUACAAAAGAAGAUAAGCAAAUUUAUUGCAAAAAUAAGUGCUUAAAAAGUGGUGAAACAGCCUAUCCAUGCCGCGAAAAAACUUGCAAAGCUCGUGUUUAUCUGAGUUCUGAAGAAACUUGUGUUUAUUCGAAGAGUGAGGUGCCAUAUCAUAAUCACGGUAUCCAAGAACAAUUAAUGGACAAAAUGGGCAUAGUUUGCGAGAUAAAAAACAAUGCACAGUGACCGAUGAAAAAAAUUCCGACACACGGAAAAUUUUUAACGACGUUUUGGCCGAAUUUACUGAAGGAGAAGGUCCUGAAAUAGAGCUUCCUUAUGACCAAUGCAAGCGUACGAUGCAAAGGAAAAGGCAACCAGUAAUGCCGAAAUCGCCUACUACUUUUGAGGAGCUACGAGUGGCAUACAAUAUUGAUUCGAUUAUGAGUCAGUUUGGUAUGAGUAAGAAAAUCCAGCCAAAAAAAUGUUUAGGCAUUUGCAUUAUUCGGAGGCAUUUUCAUAUGUAAUUUUCGCUUCUGCAAAAACUAUUUCACUAAUGGAAGAAAAAAUCCCAGUUAGUGAACGUCAUUAUUUAAUGGAUGCCACUUUUAAAGUAUGUCCAUUUGGUGCUUUUAAACAGUUUCUUAUAGUUUACAUUAAAUAUACGGAGAAGAUUACACCUUUCAUCGUUGCUCUAAUGUCGAGAAAAACAGAAAUUUGUUACCUACAUUUAUUUACAUAUAUUGAUAGUAAUAUUUGUAAUCUGGAUGGAGCAUCGUUCAUGUCGGACUAUGAAAAGGCGAUGCGUAAUGCGAUUAGAAGUUUGCAUCCUUCCACUAGAUUUUACGCAUGCUGGUUUCAUUUCUGCCAGGCGUGUAAAAAAACGGCAAAAAAAUUAGUGGGUUCGAAGUUGAAAUCAAACACAACAGGAGUUUCUACACAAUUUUUAUGACGUUUCUCCAUCUUCCUCUGCUUCCGCCCAAUUUAAUUGAACCAACUUUCGCCAUACUAAAAAAAGAAGCUUUUGUUCUUAACAAAAAUAUUUUUCAACGCUUUUUGACUUAUUAUGAUAAGCAGUGGCUAAAAUCUGAAGGACCUGACCGCAUUUCCGUUUUUAAGAGAGCCCUCAGAACGACAAGUUCUCUUGAGGCCGACAAUUUAAAUUUAGGGAAUAAAAUUCACACAAAAGGAUAUUUCUUCUUCAAAAAGUCGAGAAUUCGCGCUUUUAUUUCAAAAUGGAGGACUUGGAAAUGCCCCACAAAAGCGUUAUUUAAAGGUAAGUACGCUUUUUAAAGUUUCAACCAAAAACAUAAGUACAUAUUUCAAACUUAUUUCUUUUUUACAGGACCGUUCUCAAAAAAUAAUGGAUUCCAUGGAUCUUUUGGAGGCAAUAGAAACUUAUGUGCAAGGAUUCUUGUCUCGAACCCUUGCCUUAAAUGAUCGCUUCAAAAAUCAGGAUCUUUUUAAAAAUUUUGCACUCGAAAACGAAGGCCUCAGAUUGGAGGACAUGGCGGCUCUGAGUAUUUUGGAAUCAUAUGUUUCCUCGAAUGAUUCGAAUCUUAGCCAAAUGUCAGAGUCGGAAAUAAUCCAACAGAGUCCAUGUAAUGGGUGCUUAGUCAGCCCAAAAUCAGUUUGGUUUCGACCUUGCAACCAUCUAAACGUCUGAAAUCAGUGUUGGGAUUGCAUAUUACAGAAAGCACAAGCUACGGAAAUGCAACUAAAAUGCCCGACUUGUAAUCAACAUGUUACCAAGGCUAUUAUAUUUGAAGAGCUCUCUGUCGGAUUUGGAGGAUAAAGAACUGAUCCACUCGAAGCAAAGAUUCCACUACAAGCUUUGUCCAUGGAAUGGUGAUGACGCUUCGGAAGGACCAGAUACGUGUCAGUGUCAUAGGCUUCCGAUUUUAAGAGACGAGGCCUUCAAUAUUAUGUUAAAAUAUUAUAAGCUAAACAAACGACUUAAUAAACUACAUUGAUUUUCUUAAA